AGUAAAUGAAUUUUAAGAAAAUUAACUUACAAAAAAUACGAUACACUUUUUUUUGCAGAGCAGGUGUUAAUUCUUUAGCAGCCUUUUCUAAGAUCUCUCGUGAACUUUCAACACAACCCAACAUUUCGCGCAAGAGUCUGGGUUGAUAACGAUCAUAUAAAUUUAACUCUGUGUCCCAAUAAAAGGCUAAAUUCAACAAACUCUUUUAUGCAAAGGAAUCUUCCGGAACAAAUUCGACUUUCAGUUAACACAAACACACACUGUUAUCAACAAAAUUUAACCACAUUCCUACCUCCCAAUUGGAAGCCAUUCAACAGUAUAUUAUAAAUUUGAUGAAGAAUCAACAGCCGAUUCUGACACCAUGGUAGCCUGUUCUCCCUUUGUCCUGCAGCGAAAUUGCAUAAGCAGUGAUAUCAGUUCCAAGAUGUGUUCAUCGGCAAAAUUACUUUGGGUG
Calliphora vicina (urban bluebottle blowfly) is the source of this 454-nucleotide long non-coding RNA. RefSeq lists it as uncharacterized. The transcript has 3 exons. The record is from RefSeq and is a predicted model, not a curated record. NCBI's taxonomy places the organism in Eukaryota, Metazoa, Arthropoda, Insecta, Diptera, Calliphoridae.